This 455-nucleotide ribosomal RNA is filed under the name uncultured Hydrogenophaga sp. Its description in RNAcentral is "bacterial SSU rRNA". It matches the Rfam family "Bacterial small subunit ribosomal RNA", at positions 923 to 1382 of the family's 1533-position model. Lineage: Bacteria; Pseudomonadati; Pseudomonadota; Betaproteobacteria; Burkholderiales; Comamonadaceae. The record is from RNAcentral.
GCACAAGCGGUGGAUGAUGUGGUUUAAUUCGAUGCAACGCGAAAACCUUACCCACCUUUGACAUGGCAGGAAGUUUCCAGAGAUGGAUUCGUGCUCGAAAGAGAACCUGCACACAGGUGCUGCAUUGGCUGUCGUCAGCUCGUGUCGUGAGAUGUUGGGUUAAGUCCCGCAACGAGCGCAACCCUUGCCAUCAGUUGCUACGAAAGGGCACUCUGAUGGGACUGCCGGUGACAAACCGGAGGAAGGUGGGGAUGACGUCAAGUCCUCAUGGCCCUUAUAGGUGGGGCUACACACGUCAUACAAUGGCCGGUACAAAGGGCAGCAAACCCGCGAGGGGGAGCCAAUCCAUCAAAGCCGGUCGUAGUCCGGAUCGCAGUCUGCAACUCGACUGCGUGAAGUCGGAAUCGCUAGUAAUCGCGGAUCAGAAUGUCGCGGUGAAUACGUUCCCGGGUCUU